AUUGAACGCUGGCGGCAUGCCUAACACAUGCAAGUCGAACGGUAACGACGGGAGCUUGCUCCCGGGCGACGAGUGGCGGACGGGUGAGUAAUACUUAGGAAUCUGCCCAGUAGUGGGGGACAACUCGAGGAAACUCGAGCUAAUACCGCAUACGCCCUACGGGGGAAAGCGGGGGAUCUUCGGACCUCGCGCUAUUGGAUGAGCCUAAGUCGGAUUAGCUUGUAGGUAGGGUAACGGCCUACCUAGGCGACGAUCCGUAGCUGGUCUGAGAGGACGAUCAGCCACACUGGAACUGAGACACGGUCCAGACUCCUACGGGAGGCAGCAGUGGGGAAUAUUGGACAAUGGGCGCAAGCCUGAUCCAGCAAUGCCGCGUGUGUGAAGAAGGCCUGCGGGUUGUAAAGCACUUUCAGUGGAGAAGAAAAGCUUACGGUUAAUACCCGUGAGUCUUGACGUAACCCACAGAAGAAGCACCGGCUAACUCCGUG
RNAcentral lists this ribosomal RNA (488 nucleotides) under uncultured bacterium. Its description in RNAcentral is "bacterial SSU rRNA". It matches the Rfam family "Bacterial small subunit ribosomal RNA", at positions 30 to 507 of the family's 1533-position model. The record is from RNAcentral.